This 121-nucleotide small nuclear RNA is filed under the name Alligator mississippiensis (American alligator). RNAcentral describes it as "U4 spliceosomal RNA". It matches the Rfam family "U4 spliceosomal RNA". Rfam says of the family: U4 small nuclear RNA (U4 snRNA) is a component of the major U2-dependent spliceosome. The structure of U4 snRNA from yeast and human has been reported. The record is from Rfam by way of RNAcentral. Lineage: Eukaryota; Metazoa; Chordata; Crocodylia; Alligatoridae.
UGCUUUGCACAAUGGCAGAAUCAUAGCCAGUGAGGCCCAGCCUAGGUAUGAUUAUUGCUAGUUGAAAACUAGCACAUUUAACAUAACUAAGGAACAAAAACUCUGUACUGAAAUAGGUAUU